Molecule: ribosomal RNA, 253 nt
Filed under: uncultured bacterium
Lineage: Bacteria
Description: partial 16S ribosomal RNA
Rfam family: Bacterial small subunit ribosomal RNA
Source: RNAcentral
UACGUAGGGGGCAAGCGUUAUCCGGAUUUACUGGGCGUAAAGCGCGUUAAGGCGGCUGUGUAAGUUAGUGGUGAAAUUCCAAAGCUCAACUUUGGAACUGCCGCUAAUACUGCGCGGCUGGAGUGUGAGAGAGGAAAGUGGAAUUCCCGGUGUAGUAGUGAAAUGCGUAGAUAUCGGGAGGAACACCAGUGGCGAAGGCGGCUUUCUGGCUCACAACUGACGCUGUAGCGCGAAAGCGUGGGGAGCGAACGGG